RNAcentral lists this ribosomal RNA (492 nucleotides) under uncultured bacterium. RNAcentral's name for it is "partial 16S ribosomal RNA". It matches the Rfam family "Bacterial small subunit ribosomal RNA", at positions 29 to 507 of the family's 1533-position model. The record is from RNAcentral.
AGUGAACGCUGGCGGUAGGCCUAACACAUGCAAGUCGAACGGCAGCACAGUAAGAGCUUGCUCUUACGGGUGGCGAGUGGCGGACGGGUGAGGAAUACAUCGGAAUCUACUUUUUCGUGGGGGAUAACGUAGGGAAACUUACGCUAAUACCGCAUACGACCUACGGGUGAAAGCAGGGGUUCUUCGGACCUUGCGCGAUUGAAUGAGCCGAUGUCGGAUUAGCUAGUUGGCGAGGUAAAGGCCCACCAAGGCGACGAUCCGUAGCUGGUCUGAGAGGAUGAUCAGCCACACUGGAACUGAGACACGGUCCAGACUCCUACGGGAGGCAGCAGUGGGGAAUAUUGGACAAUGGGCGCAAGCCUGAUCCAGCCAUACCGCGUGGGUGAAGAAGGUCUUCGGGUUGUAAAGCCCUUUUGUUGGGAAAGAAAAGCAGCAGGUUAAUACCCCGCUGUUCUGACGGUACCCAAAGAAUAAGCACCGGCUAACUUCGUG